Molecule: long non-coding RNA, 465 nt
Organism: Pezoporus occidentalis (night parrot)
Lineage: Eukaryota; Metazoa; Chordata; Aves; Psittaciformes; Psittacidae
Exons: 3
Source: RefSeq, a predicted model, not a curated record
AGCUGCUCACUUAUCCAUGCAAAAUUAGUGCAGUGUGGGGGCGGUAGCUCUGGCAGAGGAAAAGGCAGCAAGCCACUGGGGGAAGACUUGCAUCUUCAGCCAGCACAGCUGCUUGCAAAAUGAACUAUCUUGCUACACCCCUUGCCCUGAGGGGCCUAACACACACUGAUGACACUGAAACCAGCCAUCACAGCCACUUUUCUUUUACAGCAGACUGGUUGGUACAGCACCUGCCCAAGCUGUGAGAGAGGAUCCAAAAGAGCAUUGCCUACUUCCCAGGAGAUGUUUGCAGCUCAGCCAAGCCCAUGAGACACCCGCUGUGCAGCAGGGAAUACAUUACCUGUAUUUCUAACAAGAAAAUAUAAAGUACAUAUGCAUUCCCUGAAAUUCUAUCUGGGAUCUCUAUCUCAGACUAGACGGACAGGAGCAAGAUCACUGAUGUUACCAUUUCUGCUGCACAAUCCA